This 157-nucleotide ribosomal RNA is filed under the name Selaroides leptolepis (yellowstripe scad). RNAcentral's name for it is "partial 16S ribosomal RNA". The record is from RNAcentral. Lineage: Eukaryota; Metazoa; Chordata; Actinopteri; Carangiformes; Carangidae.
GCCUAUUAGCAAGCCCCACAAGCCAAACCAAACAAGUAAACAUAAAUAACCCAAAAAGCACUUAACUUUGUUAAACAAAACAUUUUUCCCCUUGAGUAUAGGCGAUAGAAAAAGGCCACAAGGGCGCAAUAGAAAAAGUACCGCAAGGGAAAGCUGA